This 718-nucleotide long non-coding RNA is filed under the name Vombatus ursinus (common wombat). RNAcentral's name for it is "lncRNA (ENSVURG00010011789.1)". Lineage: Eukaryota; Metazoa; Chordata; Mammalia; Diprotodontia; Vombatidae. The record is from RNAcentral.
CAGAAAGCGUCUACCAUGCACCUAUGGACACUUCCAGCUCCUCCAGGUACAGCAGAAAAUCAGCAAGUAUUUAUGAAACCAAGCCUGAGUCAUCGGGACUAGAAACUUCUACCAACAGGAACCAAAAUCCCAGUCCCAACAGUACCAGGCAAAAACGAGAUCCUGAAGCUAAGGAGAAGGAUGUCACCAGGCGCUUUUCCCUUGCCUCCUCCCUUGGCACCACAGCUCCCACCCCCACUGGCCUCAGCAAAGAUGCUUUUGAGAAUUCCAUCCUGGCCCAGGGCAAAUGCAGUGGCAGGCCCACCACAAGAACGGUACCCAGAUCUGCCUCCCAGACAGGCUGGCCCAGCAGGCAGCUUCCUUCUCUGGAUACUUUUGAGGAUUUUGAAGUCAUUCCCUCCAGUACAGAUGAACUCUCCAACUCUUCAGACAUGGAAGAAGACAUCAGCACCCAUAAUGUGUCCGGCCUUUUCCGAGUAGAGGGCAGUUAUGAAACCUGCUCCCCAGAUUCUCUCACCCUGGAGGAUGGUGACUUGGUGCAGUUUGUACAGGAGGGAGAAAAUGGACAAUGGUUAGUAAAGAAAUUGCUUUCCGAGAAAAGUGACUGGGUACCCUCCAGUCUUCUUCAUCCUGCAGUUGUAGAUGGUGACCAGAUUCAUAAAAAUAAUAACAUAGGUAAGUACCAGGCAGGAAGCAGGAUGCAGUCCGUAAGGUGGUC